UUGGGGAUGUAGCUCAGUGGUAGAGCACUGGCCUACCAUGAGAGAGACCCUGGAUUUGAUCCCCAGUAUCAAAA
This 74-nucleotide transfer RNA is filed under the name Marmota monax (woodchuck). Its description in RNAcentral is "tRNA.Gly". The record is from RNAcentral. Lineage: Eukaryota; Metazoa; Chordata; Mammalia; Rodentia; Sciuridae.